AGCAACACGAUGGGACUAGCUAAGGCUA
Molecule: small RNA, 28 nt
Filed under: Bombyx mori (domestic silkworm)
Lineage: Eukaryota; Metazoa; Arthropoda; Insecta; Lepidoptera; Bombycidae
Description: ovarian small RNA-11998
Source: RNAcentral